RNAcentral lists this unclassified non-coding RNA (315 nucleotides) under uncultured fungus. Its description in RNAcentral is "partial contains 5.8S ribosomal RNA and internal transcribed spacer 2". The stretch from base 1 to 133 matches the Rfam family "5.8S ribosomal RNA", at positions 22 to 154 of the family's 154-position model. Lineage: Eukaryota; Fungi. The record is from RNAcentral.
UGGCUCUGGCAUCGAUGAAGAACGCAGCGAAACGCGAUAUGUAAUGUGAAUUGCAGACUUUAGUGAAUCAUCGAAUCUUUGAACGCACAUUGCGCCCCAUGGUAUUCCGUGGGGCAUGCCUGUUCGAGCGUCAUAACAACCUCUCCAGCUCCGCUGGGUCUUGGGGCUUGCCUGCCCGGGCAUCCCCUAAAACCAGAUGCGGCGCCGCGUCGGCUCUAAGCGUAGUACUGUCCUCGCUUCGGGGCCCGUCGUAGCGUCUGCUAUGAACCCUAACUUUCCAUGGUUGACCUCGAAUCAGGUAGGGAUACCCGCUGA